RNAcentral lists this ribosomal RNA (432 nucleotides) under uncultured bacterium. Its description in RNAcentral is "partial 16S ribosomal RNA". It matches the Rfam family "Bacterial small subunit ribosomal RNA", at positions 29 to 507 of the family's 1533-position model. The record is from RNAcentral.
AACGAACGCUGGCGGCAUGCCUAACACAUGCAAGUCGAACGAAAACUUCGGGUCUAGUGGCGCACGUGUGCGUACCACGUGGGAACCUGCCCUUAGGUUCCGUAUCACUCCCCGAAAGGGAUGCUCAUAACGGAUGGUGUCUUCGGACCAAAGAUUUCUCGCCUUGGGAUGGGCCCGCGUUGGAUUAGCUAGUUGGUAGGGUACAAGCCUACCAAGGCGACGAUCCAUGGGUGGUCUGAGAGGAGGAUCAGCCGCACUGGGACUGGGACACGGCCCAUACGCGUGCGGGAGGCAGCAGUGGGGAAAAUUGGACAAGGGGCGAAAGCCAGAUCCGGCGAGGCCGCGUGAGUGAUGUAGGGGUUAGGGUCGUAAAGCUCUUUUACCCGGGAUGAUAAUGACAGUACCGGUAGAAUAGGCCCGGGUUACUUCCUG